RNAcentral lists this small RNA (27 nucleotides) under Bombyx mori (domestic silkworm). RNAcentral's name for it is "ovarian small RNA-14588". Lineage: Eukaryota; Metazoa; Arthropoda; Insecta; Lepidoptera; Bombycidae. The record is from RNAcentral.
CGUGUCUUUAUACCCCGUGCUUUACGA